This 72-nucleotide transfer RNA is filed under the name Camelus bactrianus (Bactrian camel). It matches the Rfam family "tRNA". From Rfam's summary of the family: Transfer RNA (tRNA) molecules are approximately 80 nucleotides in length. The record is from Rfam by way of RNAcentral. Lineage: Eukaryota; Metazoa; Chordata; Mammalia; Artiodactyla; Camelidae. RNAcentral also lists the same sequence under 2 other names.
GAGGGUAUAGCUCAGUGGUAGAGCGCAUGCUUAGCAUGCACAAGGUCCUGGGUUCAAUCCCCAGUGCCUCCA